Oncorhynchus tshawytscha (Chinook salmon) is the source of this 471-nucleotide long non-coding RNA. NCBI's taxonomy places the organism in Eukaryota, Metazoa, Chordata, Actinopteri, Salmoniformes, Salmonidae. The record is from Ensembl.
GUCUGUCUGAACUGAUACAUAUCUCUGGGUUAGGGUGGUAGAGGGCUGACAGCAGAGGUGUCUGUCUGAACUGAUACAUAUCUCUGGGUUAGGGUGGUAGAGGGCUGACAGCAGAGGUGUCUGUCUGAACUGAUAAAUAUCUGUGGGUUAGGGUGGUAGAGGGCUGACAGCAGAGGUGUCUGUCUGAACUGAUAAAUAUCUCUGGGUUAGGGUGGUAGAGGGCUGACAGCAAAGGUGUCUGUCUGAACUGAUUAAUAUCUGUGGGUUAGGGUGGAUAGAUGGCUGACAGCAGAGGUGUCUGUCUGAACUGAUAAAUAUCUGUGGGUUAGGGUGGUAGAGGGCUGACAGCAGAGGUGUCUGUCUGAACUGAUAAAUAUCUCUGGGUUAGGGUGGUAGAGGGCUGACAGCAGAGGUGUCUGUCUGAACUGAUACAUAUCUCUGGGUUAGGGUGGUAGAGGGCUGACAGCAAAG